RNAcentral lists this ribosomal RNA (446 nucleotides) under uncultured bacterium. Its description in RNAcentral is "partial 16S ribosomal RNA". It matches the Rfam family "Bacterial small subunit ribosomal RNA", at positions 29 to 523 of the family's 1533-position model. The record is from RNAcentral.
AACGAACGCUGGCGGCAGGCUUAACACAUGCAAGUCGAACGCCCCGCAAGGGGAGUGGUAGACGGGUGAGUAACGCGUGGGAACGUGCCCUUCGCCUCGGAAUAGUCCCGGGAAACUGGGUUUAAUACCGGAUACGCCGUAUUGGGAAAGAUUUAUCGGCGAAGGAUCGGCCCGCGUUAGAUUAGGUAGUUGGCGGUGUAAUGGACCACCAAGCCUACGAUCUAUAGCUGGUCUGAGAGGAUGAUCAGCCACACUGGGACUGAGACACGGCCCAGACUCCUACGGGAGGCAGCAGUGGGGAAUCUUGGACAAUGGGCGAAAGCCUGAUCCAGCCAUGCCGCGUGAGUGAAGAAGGCCUUAGGGUUGUAAAACUCUUUCGCCGGAGAAGAUAAUGACGGUAUCCGGAGAAGAAGCCCCGGCUAACUUCGUGCCAGCAGCCGCCGUAA